This 442-nucleotide ribosomal RNA is filed under the name uncultured Prevotellaceae bacterium. RNAcentral's name for it is "bacterial SSU rRNA". It matches the Rfam family "Bacterial small subunit ribosomal RNA", at positions 355 to 794 of the family's 1533-position model. The record is from RNAcentral. Lineage: Bacteria; Pseudomonadati; Bacteroidota; Bacteroidia; Bacteroidales; Prevotellaceae.
UGAGGAAUAUUGGUCAAUGGGCGGAAGCCUGAACCAGCCAAGUAGCGUGAGGGAUGACUGCCCUACGGGCUGUAAACCUCUUUUGUUUGGGAAUAAAGUGCGGGACGUGUCCCGCAUUGCAUGUACCAUUUGAAUAAGGACCGGCUAAUUCCGUGCCAGCAGCCGCGGUAAUACGGAAGGUCCAGGCGUUAUCCGGAUUUAUUGGGUUUAAAGGGAGCGUAGGCGGAUUUUUAAGUCAGUUGUGAAAGUUUGAGGCUCAACCUUAAAAUUGCAGUUGAAACUGGAAGUCUUGAGUGCACGCAGAGGUGCCGGAAUUCAUGGUGUAGCGGUGAAAUGCUUAGAUAUCAUGAAGAACUCCGAUCGCGAAGGCAAGUGCCUGGAGUGCUACUGACGCUGAGGCUCGAAAGUGCGGGUAUCAAACAGGAUUAGAUACCCUGGUAGU